CCUACGGGGGGCAGCAGUGAGGAAUAUUGGUCAAUGGGCGCAAGCCUGAACCAGCCAAGUCGCGUGCGGGAUGAAGGCUCUAUGGAUUGUAAACUUCUUUUAUAUGGGAAUAAAGUGUGGCACGUGUCCUAUUUUGUAUGUACACUAUGAAUAAGGAUCGGCUAACUCCGUGCCAGCAGCAGCGGUAAUACGGAGGAUCCGAGCGUUAUCCGGAUUUAUUGGGUUUAAAGGGUGCGUAGGCGGCCUGUUAAGUCAGCGGUGAAAGUCUGUGGCUCAACCAUGGAAUUGCCGUUGAAACUGGGGGGCUUGAGUACGGACGAGGCAGGCGGAAUGCGUGGUGUAGCGGUGAAAUGCUUAGAUAUCACGCAGAACCCCGAUUGCGAAGGCAGCUUGCCGGGCCGUAACUGACGCUGAGGCACGAAAGCGUGGGGAUCAAACAGGAUUAGAUACCCCAGUAGUC
This 460-nucleotide ribosomal RNA is filed under the name uncultured bacterium. RNAcentral describes it as "partial 16S ribosomal RNA". It matches the Rfam family "Bacterial small subunit ribosomal RNA", at positions 338 to 795 of the family's 1533-position model. The record is from RNAcentral.